UUGUGACACUUUUUUGUUUUUUGUAGGGAAGCAUUUCUCCUUGAAUAGAUCUGCUGAUAUGGAUGACCCUGAGAUUUUGACAUGUGUGAUCAUGCAGCAAAAUUGAGGAAAACCUGUUUUUAAUGCUUUUUUAACUAAAAAUGACUGGUUUGUAAGUUGAAGUUGAUGACUCAGAAAGGAAGAGAGAAUUUGAUCCUGAGUUUUCUGCUGUGUGGAUCCUAACGAAUAGUGUCGCAACGAGGCUGAAAAUCAUAUUAGCUGCUUUUAGGACAGAAACAUAAAUCACUCAGGUAAAAUAACCUUGUAAAGACAAGUAAGAGUAUAUUGCAGAGGCCUUGGCUAGGUUCAUGAUGACAUAGGACCUUGUCUGAACAUAAUGAUUUCAAAAUGUGAGCUUAAAAUGACACUGAAAACCAGUCAAAGUGCCUCACUAGAUUUUUCCAGUUUCAAGAUUUUCAAUAGAAAAUCUUAGCUUGACAUAUGAAAACAUUGAAUACAUAGAAAUGGAAAGUGUAGUAUUGUACUUUGCCAGUUCCUCACGUAUCCUUUAUUUACAUGGAUACUCUGAGCUAAUUUCUUUUUUCUUUUUUCUGUACUUUGUAUGUUGUUGAAAGCUAAAAGGAAACUUACCCUUGGAUCACAGAAGGUGCAGGCACCUAGUGAGACAUAAACAAGGACAUGGUAAAAUGAGACUAUACAUCUUGGAUAAAAAAUGUGCCACAGUUCUAGGGUUCUAAGUGAUGUCCAGGAAGAAGGAGGAAUAAUAUUUAUGGAGCAGAUAUUGUGGAACACAAGACAAGAGUCUCACUUUAUUGCCCUUGGUGGAGUGCUAUGGCAUCACACAGCUCACAGCAUUCUCCAGCUCUUGAGCUUAGGCGAUUCUCUUGCCUCAGCCUCCCGAGUAGCUGAGACUACAGGCGCCCGCCAUAAUGCCUGCCUACUUUUUUGUUGCAGUUUGGCUGGAGCCAUAUUUGAGCCUGCCACCCUCAGUAUACGGGACUGGAGCCCUACCCACAGAGCCACAGGCGCUGCCCUAAUUAUGUAAAUACCUUAUUGUAAAUUUGUUAAUGCUGCUGUCGUCGUAGCAACAAAAUUAUUGAUAAAUAGGCUCAAGAGCAAUAUAUAACUUACACUUGCAGGAGAAAAUGACAUGACAAUGCUUUUACCCGAUUCUCAUAUAGAAAGAAUAAUUUGGCACUGGAUAAGAUAUGAAUAGCAUAUAAAUGAAGUGUCAUGUAAAUUCAUUUGAUAUUUUUGUGGAUGUACUGAGUAUCCUAAUUAUUCUUUUUUUUCCUGUUUUUUUUUUUUGCUGUUAACAUUCAAGAUAUAAAUGACUUCCUUAAGGAGAUUUUAUACUACCUCUUGGAACAAUACAAAGUUCUGUAUGUGUUCCCUUGGUUGCAUGACAACAUACAAGACAACCUUGUAAAUAGAUACAAAAUUUUAGUUUUUAGCAUCUAGUCUUUCUAGAUGUACAGAGUCUCACAAAGUAUAAUUUUGUAAAUAAGUCAUUGUAAAAUAUCAUGAUUUAAUUGUGUUUUGCAAAUGUUUUCACAAUGAAAUUGAUAAAAUUGUGGGCUUCUUAACCUGUACGUAUUUUGGUAUUUUUUUUCGGGGGGGAUUUGUUAAGGUGAGGAAAAAGAUAAAAGGGUGUAUUUUUAUUUUAAACUUAAUUCUAACUAGAAAAAAACAUGUAUUUUAGCCAUUGUUUAGUGAUUAUAUUGCACAUGAAAAACCCAAGCCAUAAUUUUGUAGUUAUAUUGCUGAUGGGACAUUAUAUAAAUAUAAUUUUAUAGUCAUUGUAGGAAAUGUGUUUUGUAAGAAAAAUUUUCUUCUACCUCUUUGAAUUAUGUUUUAUAUUUACUUGGACUGCAUGACAACAUUCAAGACACUUUGUAAAUAAGAAAUGAGUAUGACAUUUAAAAAAAUCUAUUCUGGAUGCAUGGAGUCUCAACAAAGUAUAAAUUGUAAAUACUUUAUUGUAACGUAGUUGGCUUCUCUAAAUGUGUUGGUAUCAUGAUAAUCAAUAAUUGGUCUUCUUAGGACUAUGUAACAUUCUUGUUUUGGUUGGUUUUGGGGACCACAAUAGGUGGCCUCCAUGUCUUCCCAAAUGUUAGGGUCUUGUGUAUAAGAACAACCAACUUUGGUCUGUGUGUGCCUUGUGCACGUAUCCUUAUACAAAAACAAGGAAACAACAACCCUUGGAUAUAUUUUUAUCUAUAAAGAAUGAGAAAAAAAUGAGAAGGAAAGGGAAUUAUAAUUUCAGAGAUACACUGAGUGUUAGAAGACUGCUAAAAUCGUUUUUUUUUUUUUUUAGCUAUAUGUACUUUGGCAAAUUUAUUUAUGUGAAUGCACAUGACUGUUUUAAAUGUGUAUUCACAUGCACGUCUAAAAUUGGUUUUAGGCUGGGUGUCAUGGCUCAUGUCUAUAGUAUUAGCACUCUGGGAUGCCAAGGCAGGUGGAUUGCUGGAGCUCAGGAGUUCAAGACCAGCUUAAGCAAGAACAGUUAGUAAAAAUAGAAAAACUACAUGGGUGUGGUGGUGGGCGCCUAGGCAGGAGGAUUACUUGAGCCAAAGAGACUGAGGUUAGUGUGAGCUAUGACACUGCAGCACUAUACCUAGGGUGACAGAGAGAGAGACUCUGUAUCUCUCUAAAAAAAAUAAUAAGUAAAACUAAAAUUGUUUUUAAUGGUAUAGAUUUGAUAUAGUUUAUUUCUUUUUUUGAUUUUUUGACAUAGCUUCUUUUUGUAUUAAAUCAUAGCUGUGUACAUUAUGCAAUCAUGGGGUAUCAUGCGCUGAUUUUAUAUACAAUUGGAAAUAUUUUCAUCACUCUGGUUAACAUAGCCUUUCUGGCUUUUCUUAGUUAUUGUGUUAAAACAUUUAUAUUCUAUGUUUAGUAAGUUUCACAUGUAUCCUUGUUCUUGUUUACUACUUUACAUUAUAUUUUUAGUUUUAAAUUUAUGGAGAAGAGGUCUUAAAACUUGUACAUAUUUUACCCUCAAACCCAAACAAUAAAAAGUAUAAUAAAAACUUGUACAUAUUUACAGAAUAUUGUUAUGGCUAAGUGUAUGUUAAUUUUUAUAUAAAGUAAUAAGCAGGUUCAUAACCAUUUGAUCUCUAAUUUUUUUCAUAUUUAUAAAUCCAUAUAAGAACAGAACAACUGUGUUGGUGGACAGCUGUUUUUCUGAUUUAUUUUAACAACUCACCUAUAAUAUUUAUUAUUUAUAUCAUGUGACAAUCAGAGAUAAAUGUCAAAGGUGAUGUAAAUUAGGAAAAAUUUUUAUGAAGAUUCUAGAUGUAACUAGUGUUGAUCAAAUUACUAUUCAGUUCAUCUUUUUAAAUAGGACAAUCAAAUUGAGAGUAUGUAAAAUUUGCAAGUGUUAUAAUUUGAAAUUUGAUACUGGGAUUUUUCUAAUCCAAUUCUUAACAAAUGUACAAAGAACAAAUACACUACAGGUUCAGUAUAAAAACAAUGAUAUGACCAUCUGAAAUGUUUAUUAACAGAGAAAAGAGUGUGAUUAUGCGACGAUUGUAAUUAUAAUGGUGAAAACAUAUUCCCAUUUGGAAGGGAAUUUUGUAGUCUUCUAAAUUGCUAUUUAAAAUUACAUCACUUUUCUGUAAGCAAAAACUAAUUUCAUAUUUACAGUGGUAUAUGCAUAGGCCUGUUGUUUUUCUAAUUGAAAUAUAAUAGUUAAUUAUAAAAAUGUGAAUUAUACAUGGAGAGUGACAGUCUAAUGAUUAAUACUUAAUAUCAUGAGUAUGGUGAUUAUUUUAACAUUCUAUUUGGAAUUUUUUUAACACAUUAAAAAUAAAGAUUGUAUAUAUUUGUAUAUUGCUACAUUCAAAACUCUGGAAUGAAUGUAUGUAUGUUAAAAGAAAAUUGGAUAAAGAUGGCAAAGUUUUAACAGUCCUAUGCAGAGAAAGGAGGAUAGGAUGACUACUUCUGGCUGGGCAUGGUGGCUCAUCCUGUAUCCUACCACUCUGGGAGGAUGAGAGGGGUGGAUUGCUUGAGCUCAGGAAUUUGAGACUAGCCCAAGCAAGAGUGAGACUCUGUUUCUACUAAAAAAUAGAAAAAAAAAAAAUUAGCUGAGCAUUGGGAUGGCACCUGUAGUCCCAGCUACUUAGAAGUCUGAGGCAAGAGCAACUCUUGAGCCAGAGCCCAAUAGUUUGAGGUUGCUGUGAGCUAUGAUGUCACAGCACUCUACUCAGGGCAACACAAUGAGACUCUGUCUCAAUUAAAAAGAAAAAAAGGAAAAGAAAAAGAAUUGAUUCUUUCUGCAUUUGGUAUUUUAUGAGGUAUUUUAAAAAUGAACAUUUAAACAAGAACGGAAAUUUUAAAGAGAACCAAUUGUGCCUGUCUUCAUCUUUGCUCAUCAACAUCGUGGGAGUAUUGGCCUGUUGUAUCCAAUUUUUUUAUUCCCAGUGGCCAUUGUGAGUGGUUUUUGAACGAUCUUAUGAGGAGCAUAUGAUUUAUAUGCUACUUCUAAUGCGGCAGAGCCCUACAGUGAAACAAAGGGUUGAAUUACACAUGAGAAGAAGGCAAAAGAUGGAGGUGAUGACUGAAAAGGAACCUAUGCCAUUAUGUCUACCACCAGCUUCACUAAAACCAAAAUGUGGUCUUCAUAAUGCACAGAGACUCCUCAUUUAUGUGUGUUGCAGUGAGCAGUCUUUGCAGAUGAAAAAAAAAACUAGAACAAGAAACCUCAUUUUUGGAAAAUGACCUACAGAGUGUCAUUGAAGUGAAUUAUAAUUAUGUGUGGUGAUUGUCUCCAUUGUUCCUUUUGGACUAAAUUUUGGGAGCUGGAAUGACUCAGACAUUGUUGCACAGAAUCUCAGGAUGGAGGAAUUAAAAGGGCUUCACAACAGUGCUUUGAAAAAAUAUUCCCUGUCUAUACUUGCAUUUUUUUUCUCUCAAUUGAUGCUUAGAAUUAUUUUGCAAGUUGGGAAAAAAUGCAGUUUUAAUUUGUUUUGCACCAAAUUUAAUAGAUUAAUUAGGAGAGAAUAAAUCUCUUUAAAACUGAGUCUUCCUAUCCAACCGCAAGGAUCUUCCUCCUCAUCUACCAUCCCACCAGCCCGCCAGCCUAUAGCUUCCUGCAGGCUCCAUCACAGUGGCUUUCACCACUUCCCUGUAUUAAUAAUUUUAAAGUCAGAAGAUAAUGAAGUCAUUUGAAGUUAGCCAUCUAGCCAGGCCAACUGGUUCUCCAUCUGUAGGAAAAAGGCAUGGGGUCUCUCUGUGUUGCCCAGGCUGGUCUUGAACUCCUGGCCAUAAGCAUAUUACACAAGCAAGGACCAAAGAGACUUUCUUGUGGUAUAUAAAGUAGCACUGCGAAACUAUACAGGAAAUUCCAAUCAAAGAAUGAAUAGGUGUUUGAAUGUUGUGAAGAUGAUUUGGAAUAGGAGACAGGUACUCUAAUCACAAUAAAUGGCCAGAAGAAAGAAGGAAAAUGAUAGUUUCAUCAUUUUCACAUAUCUCCUCUGUGUUCUCCCAGGUGGUUGACCAUGUGGACAAGAGGAUCAUAGGAAACUUUCCAUAGUGCUUCAGUCUACAGUAUCACUCAAUGCUGUUAUUAUUCUUCCUUUCUUGGAUAUUGUUGCAUUUUGUAUCUUAAAGGCCAUAGCUUUUAUAGAAGUAAGUGCAGAAAUAGAAAUAACCUGCUUUAUUGGCAAGUGGUUGUCUGAUGUUACCAAGUACUUCUUUGUGCUGCCUUCAUGGUACUUUUCUUUAUGGUUGUAUAUUACCUCAUUGUAUUUUAAUUUAUAUUUUACAAAUGGAAAUGAAAUUUGUGCUUGGUGAAUAUAAUUAGAUUAUUUUAUAACUCCAUUUACAUCUUGUUUACUCCUGAUGAUAGCUGGACUUUUUCAAAAGCUAGAUGUUUAUGUUGAGCCACUUUUGUUUUUUCAUUCAUAACAUAAUUUCUUUGUCAUUUAUCAGAUGCUUAUAAGUUUUUGGACAGGUACCCCCCCCAAAUUAUCUUAAACAUUUGUAUUAUCUGAACUAUACCUUUUGAAGUUACCCUUUUUAUUGAACCUAGUGAGUCUCACUCUAGAUCAUUAUCUGAGACUGUCUGUUGUUCAACUCUUCCCUAAUGCCUAAACCUAGGGCUUGGAUGCAGACCCUUGUUAUGUCAUUCUGAACCAUGAUGAUAACAUCUUAUAGGUCAUGCAAUCACAUCAUUUCUUGAUUAUUACUGAUACACUCUUCUUUGGGAUUGGAAUAAGUCUCAGUAUACCAAAUAGAUUUCUUUUAUCCAUAUUAUCCUGAUUGUUGUUUAUUUUCUGCUUAACCUAAGUGGGCUUAAUAUAAAAUAUUGUUUGUUUGAAAUUGUGAUGAUCUAUUUUUUGAGAACUAACAUAUUGCCUAUAAUCUGUCUUAACAGAUAGGAUUAUAAUAUAGAGGGGCCCAAUAAUAUACAGGUAUCUAAUAAUAUUACCUCUGUUAUUGCUACCAGUGUUAGCAAUAUAAACAAUUGCUAGAGGCAAAAGGAAAAAAGGAGGGUAAAAAAGGAAAAAAGAGAAAAAAAAUUGCUACAAUUUCAAGACUGAAUGAUACUCCCUUACCUUGAAUGUCGAUUACUUUUACCAACAGUAGACUUAAUGGUUUAAAAACCUCAUAAAUUUGCGCAGUCAUCAGUAGCUUUAUUAUUGUAUUAUUUUGUUUAUUUCCAGUUAGAUUCUAAGGUAGAAUUUGUGUUCCCUUUAUACUCAUUUAUUUUACCUGCAGAGAAGUUCCUUUUAUACUUCCCGAGUUGAUUUGUCUCAACUCUGUCUAUUCCAAUCCUAAACUGUUUCUUGUGUUAAUAUUUUCCAAGUUCAGAAUGUUCUUCUGGACAUAAGAUCAAUGUCAUAAUCACAAGACUUCAUGUUAUACAAAACCCAAGGCAAUACCUAGUCAAUAUAGCAUUUUGUAGUCUGUGCCAGAGGUCAACAAACUGUAUAGGAGCAGACAUCAGAUGCUAUUGUAGCUAUUCAGUUUUGCCCCUCUAGUGUGAAAAUAGCUAUAGCUAUAACCAGUUUAUAGACAAAUAAAUAUGGCUAAGUUCUAGUAAAAUGUAUAUACAAAAAACAAGUGAUGAGCUAGAUUUUGACUAUAUCUUGUAGUUUUCUAAUCCCUAGACUGAUGUAUUAGCUAGAUAUAAAACUAGAAGGAAGAAGACGUCUUUUCUUCCCAUUUUAUUUUUAUGAAUCCUCAACAUGCAAGCACUCUGGGAGGCCAAGGCAGGUGGAUUGCUUUAGCUCAGGAAUUGGAGAUCAGCCUGAGGAAGAGCAAGACCCAUCUCUACUUUAAAAAAAAAAAAAAAAUAGAGAAAUAGAAAAGAAAACUAAUUGGGUAUCAUGGCAGGUGUCUGUAAUCCCAACUACUUGGGAGGCUGAGGCAAGAGGAUUGAUUGAGCCUAAGAGUUUGAGGUUGCUGUUGAAUGCUGACCUUAAAAAUUGGGAAUAGUAUGCCAUUAAACUUUUUUUUUUUUAUUAAAUCAUAGCUGUGUACAUCAAUAUGAUCAUGGGGCACCAUACACUUGGUUCAUAGAAUAUUUGACACAUUUUCAUCUCAUUAGUUGACAUAGCCCUCCUGGCAUUUUCUUAGUUACUUUGCCAAGAUAUUUACAUUCCACAUUUGCCAAGCCUCACAUGUACCCUUGUAAGAUGCAUCACAGGUGUGAUCCUUUCAAUCUCCCUCCCUCUACCCACCUCCCCCCUCCCUCCCCACGCUUUCCCCCUUCCCCUUGUUCUUAGGUUGUAACUUGGUUAUAGCUUUCAUGCCAUUAAACUUUUGAAUUCUUGGAUCUUAAAGCCAGAUUGAGUGUUGUAACUUUUUUCUUUUAAAUCUCUUUUCUACUUUGACUUGGCACUUAGUUCACUGAAAUAGCCACCAAGAAUGAAUGAGUGAGUAAUAUAAAGCAAUCUGUGAUAAUUCAUACUCCAUUUUCAAUUCCUACUUCCUGGGGAUGA
Molecule: long non-coding RNA, 7946 nt
Organism: Nycticebus coucang (slow loris)
Lineage: Eukaryota; Metazoa; Chordata; Mammalia; Primates; Lorisidae
Exons: 10
Source: RefSeq, a predicted model, not a curated record